AUUGAACGCUGGCGGCGGGCCUAACACAUGCAAGUCGAACGAGUGGCGGACGGGUGAGUAAUGUCUGGGAAACUGCCUGAUGGAGGGGGAUAACUACUGGAAACGGUAGCUAAUACCGCAUACCAUCGGAUGUGCCCAGAUGGGAGUAGCUAGUAGGUGGGGUAACGGCUCACCUAGGGGACGAUCCCUAGCUGGUCUGCGAGGAUGACCAGCCACCCGGGAACUGUGACACGGGCCAGACUCCGACGGGAGGCAGCAGUGGGGAAUAUGGCACAAUGGGCGAAAGCCGGAUGCAGCCAUGCCGCGUGGAUGAAGAAGGCCUUCGGGUUGUAAAGUACUUUCAGCGGGGAGGCGUUACCCGCAGAAGAAGCACCGGCUAACUCCGUGCCAGCAGCCGCGGUAAUAC
This 406-nucleotide ribosomal RNA is filed under the name uncultured bacterium. RNAcentral's name for it is "partial 16S ribosomal RNA". It matches the Rfam family "Bacterial small subunit ribosomal RNA", at positions 29 to 526 of the family's 1533-position model. The record is from RNAcentral.